This 467-nucleotide ribosomal RNA is filed under the name uncultured bacterium. Its description in RNAcentral is "partial 16S ribosomal RNA". It matches the Rfam family "Bacterial small subunit ribosomal RNA", at positions 29 to 507 of the family's 1533-position model. The record is from RNAcentral.
ACGCACGCUGGCGGCGUGCUUAACACAUGCAAGUCGCACGGAAAGGCCCUGCUUUUGUGGGGUGCUCGAGUGGCGAACGGGUGAGUAACACGUGAGUAACCUGCCCUUGACUUUGGGAUAACUUCAGGAAACUGGGGCUAAUACCGGAUAGGAGCUCCUGCUGCAUGGUGGGGGUUGGAAAGUUUCGGCGGUUGGGGAUGGACUCGCGGCUUAUCAGCUUGUUGGUGGGGUAGUGGCUUACCAAGGCUUUGACGGGUAGCCGGCCUGAGGGGGUGACCGGCCACAUUGGGACUGAGAUACGGCCCAGACUCCUACGGGAGGCAGCAGUGGGGAAUAUUGCACAAUGGGCGGAAGCCUGAUGCAGCAACGCCGCGUGCGGGAUGACGGCCUUCGGGUUGUAAACCGCUUUCGCCUGUGACGAAGCGUGAGUGACGGUAAUGGGUAAAGAAGCACCGGCUAACUACGUG